Long non-coding RNA from Lates calcarifer (barramundi perch), 1371 nucleotides. RefSeq lists it as uncharacterized. The record is from RefSeq and is a predicted model, not a curated record. The transcript is spliced from 2 exons. NCBI's taxonomy places the organism in Eukaryota, Metazoa, Chordata, Actinopteri, Centropomidae.
UCUCCUCUCCAAGUGUCUGAUAUCCAACAGUAAAAAGAAAAGAGACUCGCAAGGGGAAAAACAUAAAACUUCAAGAGAAUUUCGACCUCAGUGCAUGAAACGCAUUGGAGCACAGUGGACGUCUUCCUUUUGUCCCGACAUCUUCACCACCUCCGUCCACAUUGUCAGACGCAACAACGUAUCCCUCCGCACAAAUGUGAGGGCCUCAACGCCAGCGGUGUCCGAUUUCAAACGCCUUUGAGAGAAUGGGUAUUUUUACAGAGAGAAAAAUACAAUUUUGACGUCUUCUGAUGCCUAAAACGACGGAAAUGCAUAAUUUCAAGGCUGAGUUUUGUGUACCAUAUCUGCAAUCCUCAAAAUGAGGGAGCGCUGCAAGAACUACGUCGUACGGCGGAAGGCUAUCGUAAGAAAGUUACCUGCGAUUACACAGCAGCAGCUUGACGAGAUGGCACGAUAAAUGCGAAGCAGCUCAGCCAAUGGGGAAGCGUGCACAGUUGACUGACAGCAACACCAGCCAGCAAACGGCUGGAAAUACAAUUUGUGCCCGCCUUCUUCUUGACGCUUACUUUCCCUGUGUGCUCAGGGAGGCUGGCUGAGGGGGGCUCCAACAUGCCCGCUGACAUCAUUUUAUUACUGUGGUUGCUGUGUCUUCCUUUCCUGUUUUUCCAAAAAAAACAAUAUACUUAACCGACGGCCUGAGAUAAUUUUGGUUUUUUUUUACAAUAACAACAGCAACUGUUAACUAAAUUAUCAUUUAAAUGUAAAUGUAAAAUUUUGUCUCAACAUUUAACGAUAAUACAUGUAAAUCUAGCUUCGUUAUUUGCUGUUUUUUCUGUACCAAUACAACUCUAUGACAUAAGCUGAAUGCAUUAUAAUGUGUGAUUUAAAAAAAAAAAAUAUGAUAUUGACCUCCUGAUGUAUAGGUUGUUAUGAGGGGACCUAACAUGACUACUGUUUUCCUUUGUGUUUAUUUGUUUGUUUUGUUAUGUUGUUGUUUUAACCUAGCAAUUACAUGCACAUAACAUUGACUGGUUCCAAUCCAAAGUCAUGUUUCCAUCCAGCUAACUACAUGUAAAAAUGACCAACUGCUGUAAUCAUGACACAUUAUUUCCAUUAUAAUGUUGCUUUGUUUUAUUACUGAGUGAUUUGCUGCUUAUUCUCUCAAUUGAUCUAUUGAUUAGUUUGUUUAGAAAAUGUUAGAAAACAGUUUUAAAAAAAAAAAAAAAAAAAACUUCAUGAUUUACCAAACAUGUAUUCAAGUUGUGUGUUUUAUCCCACCAGUAAUCCCAGACUCAAAGAUACACAGUUUCCUAUCACACAUGUCAAAGAAAAUCAUCAAAACCUCACAAUAAAGAGACUAUAACCAGCAAA